GUGGGGAAUUUUGGACAAUGGGCGCAAGCCUGAUCCAGCCAUUCCGCGUGCAGGAUGAAGGCCUUCGGGUUGUAAACUGCUUUUGUACGGAACGAAAAGCCUCUGGUUAAUACCCGGGGGUCAUGACGGUACCGUAAGAAUAAGCACCGGCUAACUACGUGCCAGCAGCCGCGGUAAUACGUAGGGUGCGAGCGUUAAUCGGAAUUACUGGGCGUAAAGCGUGCGCAGGCGGUGAUGUAAGACAGUUGUGAAAUCCCCGGGCUCAACCUGGGAACUGCAUCUGUGACUGCAUUGCUGGAGGGCGGCAGAGGGGGAUGGAAUUCCGCGUGUAGCAGUGAAAUGCGUAGAUAUGCGGAGGAACACCGAUGGCGAAGGCAAUCCCCUGGGCCUGCACUGACGCUCAUGCACGAAAGCGUGGGGAGCAAACAGGAUUAGAUACCCGAGUAGUCC
This 450-nucleotide ribosomal RNA is filed under the name uncultured bacterium. RNAcentral describes it as "partial 16S ribosomal RNA". It matches the Rfam family "Bacterial small subunit ribosomal RNA", at positions 354 to 796 of the family's 1533-position model. The record is from RNAcentral.